CCUGGUUGAUCCUGCCAGUAAUCCUAUGCUUGUCUCAAAGAUUAAGCCAUGCAUGUCUAAGUACAUGCCGAAAUAAGGCGAAACCGCGAAUGGCUCAUUAAAUCAGUUAUGGUUCCUUAGAUCGUUUCUUCCUACUUGGAUAACUGCAAUUCUUUAAGAACGCUAAAUUACAUGCAGUGGCCUGGAGCCUUUUUGGGGUAACCGGGUGUUUUAUUAACCCAAAGUCGAUCGGGUUUCGGCCCGUAUUGUGUGGUGACUCUGGAUAACUUUGUGCUGAUCGCAUGGCCACGAGCCGGCGACGUUUCUUUCAAGUGUCUGCCUUAUCAACUUUCGAUGGUAGGUUACUUGCUUACCAUGGUUGUUACGGGUAACGGAGAAUCAGGGUUCGAUUCCGGAGAGGGAGCCUGAGAAACGGCUACCACAUCCAAGGAAGGCAGCAGGCGCGCAAAUUACCCACUCCCGGCACGGGGAGGUAGUGACGAAAAAUAACAAUACGGGACUCUUUUGAGGCCCCGUAAUUGAAAUGAGUACACUCUAAAUCCUUUAACGAGGAUCAAUUGGAGGGCAAGUCUGGUGCCAGCAGCCGCGGUAAUUCCAGCUCCAAUAGCGUAUACUAAAGCUGCUGCGGUUAAAAAGCUCGUAGUUGGAUCUCAGUUCCAGACGAGUAGUGCAUCUACCCGAUGCGACGGCUCGGACUGAACAUCAUGCCGGUUCUUUCUUGGUGCACUUCAUUGUGUGCCUCGAGAUGGCCGGUGCUUUUACUUUGAAAAAAUUAGAGUGCUCAACGCAGGCGAGUCGCCUGAAUAAACUUGCAUGGAAUAAUAGAACAAGACCUCGUUUCUGUUCUGUUGGUUUUUGGAAUACGAGGUAAUGAUUAAGAGGGACGGACGGGGGCAUUCGUAUUGCGGCGCUAGAGGUGAAAUUCUUGGACCGUCGCAAGACGAACUACUGCGAAAGCAUUUGCCAAGAAUGUUUUCAUUGAUCAAGAACGAAAGUCAGAGGUUCGAAGGCGAUCAGAUACCGCCCUAGUUCUGACCAUAAACGAUGCCAACCAGCGAUCCGCCUGAGUUACUCAAAUGACUCGGCGGGCAGCUUCCGGGAAACCAAAGUAUUUGGGUUCCGGGGGAAGUAUGGUUGCAAAGCUGAAACUUAAAGGAAUUGACGGAAGGGCACCACCAGGAGUGGAGCCUGCGGCUUAAUUUGACUCAACACGGGAAAACUUACCCGGCCCGGACACUGGGAGGAUUGACAGAUUGAGAGCUCUUUCUUGAUUCGGUGGAUGGUGGUGCAUGGCCGUUCUUAGUUGGUGGAGCGAUUUGUCUGGUUAAUUCCGAUAACGAACGAGACUCUAGCCUAUUAAAUAGGUGCGGGGUUCCCAGCACCUUACAACCUUCUUAGAGGGACAAGCGGCUCCUAGCCGCACGAAACAGAGCAAUAACAGGUCUGUGAUGCCCUUAGAUGUCCGGGGCCGCACGCGCGCUACACUGAAGGAAGCAGCGUGUCUUUAUCCCUGUCUGAAAAGACUGGGUAACCCGUGGAACUUCUUUCGUGAUUGGGAUAGGGGCUUGCAAUUGUUCCCCUUGAACGAGGAAUUCCCAGUAAGCGCGAGUCAUAAGCUCGCGUUGAUUACGUCCCUGCCCUUUGUACACACCGCCCGUCGCUACUACCGAUUGAAUGAUUUAGUGAGGUCUUCGGACCGAUGUCCGGCGCGGCCUUUCGGUUGCGCCGGUCUGUUGGAAAGAUGACCAAACUUGAUCAUUUAGAGGAAGUAAAAGUCGUAACAAGGUUUCCGUAGGUGAACCUGCGGAAG
This 1810-nucleotide ribosomal RNA is filed under the name Rhipicephalus microplus (southern cattle tick). Its description in RNAcentral is "SSU rRNA". It matches the Rfam family "Eukaryotic small subunit ribosomal RNA". Lineage: Eukaryota; Metazoa; Arthropoda; Arachnida; Ixodida; Ixodidae. The record is from RNAcentral.